GGACCCAUGGCGCAACGGUAGCGCGUCAGAUUCCAGUCCCCUGGAGAUUCCUGAAGGUUAGGCGUUCGAAUCGCCUUGGGUUCA
Transfer RNA from Beauveria bassiana D1-5, 84 nucleotides. It matches the Rfam family "tRNA". Rfam says of the family: Transfer RNA (tRNA) molecules are approximately 80 nucleotides in length. Their secondary structure includes four short double-helical elements and three loops (D, anti-codon, and T loops). The record is from Rfam. Lineage: Eukaryota; Fungi; Ascomycota; Sordariomycetes; Hypocreales; Cordycipitaceae.